RNAcentral lists this microRNA precursor (78 nucleotides) under Schistosoma mansoni. RNAcentral describes it as "mir-3492 microRNA precursor family". It matches the Rfam family "mir-3492 microRNA precursor family". Lineage: Eukaryota; Metazoa; Platyhelminthes; Trematoda; Strigeidida; Schistosomatidae. The record is from Rfam by way of RNAcentral.
AGCUUUUUGAAUCCGUGCAAAGGUUUCGUCAUGCACCAACUCAUUAGGGUUGGUCAGACUUCCAAAAUAAGUGAAGUU